This 275-nucleotide ribosomal RNA is filed under the name uncultured bacterium. RNAcentral describes it as "partial 16S ribosomal RNA". It matches the Rfam family "Bacterial small subunit ribosomal RNA", at positions 79 to 353 of the family's 1533-position model. The record is from RNAcentral.
CUAAGUUUGAUGGCGACCGGCGCACGGGUGAGUAACACGUAUCCAACCUGCCGAUGACUCGGGGAUAGCCUUUCGAAAGAAAGAUUAAUACCCGAUGGCAUAGUUCUUCCGCAUGGUAGAACUACUAAAGAAUUUCGGUCAUCGAUGGGGAUGCGUUCCAUUAGGUUGUUGGCGGGGUAACGGCCCACCAAGCCUUCGAUGGAUAGGGGUUCUGAGAGGAAGGUCCCCCACAUUGGAACUGAGACACGGUCCAAACUCCUACGGGAGGCAGCAUG